Long non-coding RNA from Magnolia sinica, 730 nucleotides. RefSeq lists it as uncharacterized. The record is from RefSeq and is a predicted model, not a curated record. NCBI's taxonomy places the organism in Eukaryota, Viridiplantae, Streptophyta, Magnoliopsida, Magnoliales, Magnoliaceae. The transcript is spliced from 3 exons.
GUUGUCAGCCCCUACAGUGACAUUUUGGAUAUCUGUGUUGCAGCAAUUCGAGUAGCUUUGGAUGCAAUAGGUUUCCAUGACGUGUCUAUCAUGUCAUGUACUGCUAAGUAAUGAACUUGUGUUGGAUAGUCUCUUUUUUAUUUCUUCUAAAGAACCAUUGGGGACAUGUCCACUAAUUGGGAUAUUCUUCCUCCUCGAAAAAUCAAAGAUGUUAAUGCCAAAAAGGUUUGAGCUCAAGAUCUUAGCCAUGAGGUGUGAUUUCCUUCAAUUCAGUGCUUUUGCUAUAGUUGUCUUAUGAUACGUCGUCUUUCUGUUUGCAGCCCAAGGACCGGGAUGAUAGGGAGUAUAUCGAUCACCCUAAUAAUGUCAAAUAAGAGGUUGCUGGUAAUGAGAAUGACAUCACUGCAUUUCAGAUGGACAUAAAGGUCAAGACAAAUCAAAUUAACAGAACUCAGUUUCUUCAGGAGAUGCUUUAUUUCUUGUGCAUUGGAAAGACAGAAUCCUAGGUAUGUGGAUCCACUCAAUAUAACUACAAUGGCAUGUCCCGUACUACUGUUAUGCCCUCUGGCAAUAGCAGAAGCAGAGCGUGGAAUUCCUGACAUUCUCAAGCGGGUUCGAGUUGUAUUUGAUAAGGCAAGCCAUAAAGCUAUAUACUCAUGCACGUUUUUUUUUUCCUUUUUUUGUGUGUAAUUCAAAAUUGAACAGAAAAUAUGCAUCAAACCUGUUUUUC